CUGGGUACCCCUUCCUGAUGAUCCCGGACCUGAGCAGCCCGUACCUCUCCAACGGACCCCUGUCUCCCGGAGGAGCGCGCACAAGGGAGUCUUGCUCUGUCGCCCAGGCUGGAGUGCAGUGACGCGAUCUUGGCUUACUGCAAGCUCCGCCUCCCGGGUUCACGCCAUUCUCCCACCUCAGCCUCUGAGUAGCUGGGACUACAGGCGCCCGCCACCACACCCGGCUAAUUUUGGUGCAUGCAUUUCUAUUUGUAUUUCUUGUUUGCCGUUUUUUCCAGUGUCCUUGGUUAAAGUUUUCAGCUAAGUACUUACCUUUAUAGUCAGAGAUAACGCCUACUCUACACCUGCAAGUAUCAUUCUCCCACCGUACCUUUUCUUCUGGCUGAUUCCAGCAAUGUGGGACUGGCUGGGGGGUAAGGGGCUAGCACAUGGUACAAGACCAGCUCCCAAGAGCAAGUGUUGGGUGCAACCACUAUGGAAAACAGUAUAGAGGUUCCUCAAAAAACAAAAAAUUAAUUAAAAAUUAAAGAAUUAUA
This 536-nucleotide small RNA is filed under the name Pongo abelii (Sumatran orangutan). Its description in RNAcentral is "processed transcript". The record is from RNAcentral. Lineage: Eukaryota; Metazoa; Chordata; Mammalia; Primates; Hominidae.